Non-coding RNA from Populus trichocarpa (black cottonwood), 146 nucleotides. The record is from Rfam. NCBI's taxonomy places the organism in Eukaryota, Viridiplantae, Streptophyta, Magnoliopsida, Malpighiales, Salicaceae.
UGAUCCAUUAAUGGCAAACCCUUAUUUAACUAAGUCAAAUCCUCACCUGACUGCUUAGAACCUUCACUUUUUACUAGUCUGGCAACAUCGCUUGUCCUAAAGCUCCUAUUAAAAAGAGGUGCUCAAUAGUGAGUCCAUUAUGCAAA